RNAcentral lists this ribosomal RNA (507 nucleotides) under Eucephalobus striatus. RNAcentral's name for it is "SSU rRNA". It matches the Rfam family "Eukaryotic small subunit ribosomal RNA", at positions 88 to 590 of the family's 1831-position model. The record is from RNAcentral. Lineage: Eukaryota; Metazoa; Nematoda; Chromadorea; Rhabditida; Cephalobidae.
CGCGAAUGGCUCAUUAUAACAGCUAACAAAUCUACUUGAUCUUGACACAAUCCUACUUGGAUAACUGUGGUAAUUCUAGAGCUAAUACAUGCAUUAAAGCUCUGACCUUCGGGGAAGAGUGCAUUUAUUAGAACAAAACCAAGCGGCUUCGGCUGUUUUCGGUUGACUCAUAGUAACUGAGCUGAUCGCAUGGUCUUGCACCGGCGACGUGUCUUUCGAGUAUCUGCCGUAUCAACUUUCGAUGGUAGUGUAUCUGACUACCAUGGUGAUCACGCGUAACGGAGAAUAAGGGUUCGACUCCGGAGAGUUCGCCUGAGAAAUCGCGAACACAUCUAAGGAAGGCAGCAGGCGCGAAAAUUACCCACUCUCAGCACGAGGAGGUAGUGACGAAAAAUAACGAGACCGUUCUCUUAUGAGGCCGGUCAUCGGAAUGGGUACAAUUUAAACCCUUUAACGAGUAUCUAUGAGAGGGCAAGUCUGGUGCCAGCAGCCGCGGUAAUUCCAGCU